RNAcentral lists this non-coding RNA (168 nucleotides) under Paraburkholderia hospita. Lineage: Bacteria; Pseudomonadati; Pseudomonadota; Betaproteobacteria; Burkholderiales; Burkholderiaceae. The record is from RNAcentral.
GUCGUCGUGAGGCGGAGUCCGAAGGAAGGGUGGAACAAAGCCACGACCUGACGAACAGAAACCCGAUGCAAUGCAUACUUGGUCGGUCGAGCGCGUAAAGGAUCACGAUGUCCCCGACCAUCAAAUGCCGGGCGGUAAUGUUGGCAGGUGUCGCCAGUGUGCAUAUCU